Molecule: ribosomal RNA, 484 nt
Filed under: uncultured bacterium
Lineage: Bacteria
Description: partial 16S ribosomal RNA
Rfam family: Bacterial small subunit ribosomal RNA
Source: RNAcentral
AUUGAACGCUGGCGGCAGGCCUAACACAUGCAAGUCGAGCGGAUGAAGGGAGCUUGCUCCUGGAUUCAGCGGCGGACGGGUGAGUAAUGCCUAGGAAUCUGCCUGGUAGUGGGGGAUAACGUCCGGAAACGGGCGCUAAUACCGCAUACGUCCUGAGGGAGAAAGUGGGGGAUCUUCGGACCUCACGCUAUCAGAUGAGCCUAGGUCGGAUUAGCUAGUUGGUGGGGUAAAGGCCUACCAAGGCGACGAUCCGUAACUGGUCUGAGAGGAUGAUCAGUCACACGGGAACUGAGACACGGUCAGGACUCCAACGGGAGGAGCCAGUGGGGAAUUGUGGAAAAGGGGAGAAGCCCUGAUCGACCCAUCCCGGGGGUGGAAGAAAGUUCUUGGGAUUUAAAAGCAUUUUAAGUUGGGGGAAAGGGAAGUAAGUUAAUACCUUGCUGUUUGGACUUACCCAAAAAAAAAAGCACCGCCUAAUUUCGUC